AGUAAUCAGGGGCUGAGCUCACGAGCUCCAGACAGAACGUGGACUGUGUUCCACAGGGCAACAGGGCUUUGGGGGAGUGCAGAGAAGGGCAUGCACAGUUCAACAUGCAGACCCCACCUCGGCCAGAGGAAGGCGAAGGGCAGCAGCAUUCAUCCCAGGGCUGGUUAUUCAGUCUGAAGGUAUGCAAGCACACAUGUCGAACCCCACCACCCUGUGUAAGGAUGGAAACAGCAGAGUCCCUGGCUCUCAUUGAGCAGCCAACCAAGCCAAUUGCCGAGAAGAACAUGUGGUCAAUGAAGCUCUUCCUGGAAGUAGACAAGGCAUUUCCCAGAAUCCUACUUCCAAGAAGAAGCUCUGGGAUCCUGCGUCAUCCCAUGCUGUGCCUUCCUCUUUGUGACCAAGUGCUGAAGCUUUGGCUGAGGUAUAGGGACAGGCAUAGCUGUGAGGCCUGGGUGGAGGCCUGGGGAAGUCUAUAAAUGGAGAUUACAGCAUUCAAGCCGCUUCAAUCCUUGUGUUCUGCAGAUCUUGGGCCCUUGGAGGGGGUUUAUGACUAACCGUGAUUGCCUGCUCCCUCAGAUCUCACACAGGUCGUUUUUCUUACCAGUCCCAUCUGGGGUGACUAUGCCAGUAUCUUUGCUGACAGAGUUGAAUUUGGUCUGUGUUUCGAUUGCACAAGAACAAAGCCUGCACUGUAGGAACAACUGUCUCGAGGGCACAUCCAGAGCAGGCAGAGUUUCCCUCUCUCUCUCUUGUGUUCCUCUCUUUAUUGCUUCCGUUCCUGUACAUAUUUCAGUGAUGUCAGGAUUUGGAAUGGCUCUACCUUGAGGGGAGCCAAGAAAUCCUGAGUGUGUGUGUGUAUGUGUGUGUGUUCAUGUGCAUGAGAGUAUAUACUGGCAAGACCAAAGCAGUUUGAUGUAUAUCAGCCUGGCUGUUUAUUGAUCCCAUGGAGGUAAAGAAACAGAUUGGAAUCUCCUGGCUGUAAGAAAUAUAACCCUUGACCAGCUGCAGCCAUUUUUCUGUCUCCUCUGGCCAAAACAAAACAAAAACAUUCAUUUAAAACUUCUCACCUGGGAAGCACUUGUUAAGAGUAUUUCAUGCAAAUGUGUAAGUUUCUUGGGCUGGACUUGCAAUUCAGAUCAGGAAAAAAAAAAUGGUCUUGCAUGCUUAUGUCUGAGCAUGCAUUUUGCAGGAAGCCAUUUUGUGAACAAGCAGACGGAUUACUUCCGUGUUCUGGGAUGGUCGUGCCUCAUGUGAGGUUUGGGGGUGGGUUUUGCUUCACUUUCUUCAUAAGGUUUUGAAGCUCGGUGGCUAGGAAGUUGAUGGGGUACUGUCCCUUGCUAGGGAAGAGGUCCUG
This is a long non-coding RNA of Mus musculus (house mouse), 1354 nucleotides long. RefSeq annotates it as predicted gene 1587. The transcript has 3 exons. Lineage: Eukaryota; Metazoa; Chordata; Mammalia; Rodentia; Muridae. The record is from RefSeq and is marked validated.